GGUGAACGCUGGCGGCGUGCCUAACACAUGCAAGUCGAGCGGUGCAGUUUGAAGCUUCGGUGGAAAGCUGCAUAGCGGCGGACGGGUGAGGAAAACGUAGGAACGUGCCCCUUGGAGUUGGAUAGCCACGGGAAACUGUGGGUAAACCGACAUAGACUCGAGAGAGUAAAGGCCGAAAGGCGCCAAGGGAGCGGCCUGCGGCCCAUCAGGUAGUUGGUAGUGUAAAGGACUACCAAGCCGACGACGGGUAGCCGGUCUGAGAGGAUGGCCGGCCACCAAGGGCACUGAGAGACGGGCCCUACUCCUACGGGAGGCAGCAGUGGGGGAUUUUGGACAAUGGGCGAAAGCCUGAUCCAGCGACGCCGCGUGGAGGACGAAGCCCUUCGGGGUGUAAACUCCUUUUCUCAGGGAAAAAGGAUGAUGGUACCUGAGGAAUAAGCCCCGGCUAACUAACGUG
Molecule: ribosomal RNA, 457 nt
Filed under: uncultured bacterium
Lineage: Bacteria
Description: bacterial SSU rRNA
Rfam family: Bacterial small subunit ribosomal RNA
Source: RNAcentral